AUCUAUAACGUCGGGGGCCGGCCUGGGAAAGCGUACCCGUGUGGUGUUGGGAUAGCCAACAUAAACGCUUUACCUCCCUGCCCUGUCUGAACAUACCCCUGUUUUUUGUGUACCAACUGUUUCCUCGGUGGGCUUGCCUGCCAGUAGGACAUCAUAUAACCUUUUGUAAUUGCAAUCAGCGUCAGAGAAACUUAAUAGUUA
RNAcentral lists this unclassified non-coding RNA (201 nucleotides) under uncultured Pleosporales. Its description in RNAcentral is "sequence contains ITS1". The record is from RNAcentral. Lineage: Eukaryota; Fungi; Ascomycota; Dothideomycetes; Pleosporales.